CCUACGGGAGGCAGCAGUGAGGAAUAUUGGUCAAUGGGCGCGAGCCUGAACCAGCCAAGUCGCGUGAGGGAAGACGGUCCUAUGGAUUGUACACCUCUUUUGUCGGGGAGCAAAAGACGCCACGCGUGGCGUUCCGAGAGUACCCGAAGAAAAAGCAUCGGCUAACACCGUGCCAGCAGCCGCGGUAAUACGGAGGAUGCGAGCGUUAUCCGGAUUUAUUGGGUUUAAAGGGUGCGCAGGCGGAAGAUCAAGUCAGCGGUAAAAUUGAGGGGCUCAACCUCUUAGAGCCGUUGAAACUGGUAUUCUUGAGUGAGUGAGAAGUAUGCGGAAUGCGUGGUGUAGCGGUGAAAUGCAUAGAUAUCACGCAGAACUCCGAUUGCGAAGGCAGCAUACCGGCGCUCAACUGACGCUCAUGCACGAAAGUGUGGGUAUCGAACAGGAUUAGAUACCCCUGUAGUC
RNAcentral lists this ribosomal RNA (459 nucleotides) under uncultured bacterium. Its description in RNAcentral is "partial 16S ribosomal RNA". It matches the Rfam family "Bacterial small subunit ribosomal RNA", at positions 338 to 795 of the family's 1533-position model. The record is from RNAcentral.